GUAGACUACCAGGUUGAUAGGUCAGAGGUGUACAUGUAGAAAUACAUUUAGCUGACUGAUACUAAUAGACCGAGGACUUGACCUAA
Molecule: ribosomal RNA, 86 nt
Filed under: Alkalibaculum sporogenes
Lineage: Bacteria; Bacillati; Bacillota; Clostridia; Eubacteriales; Eubacteriaceae
Description: Alkalibaculum sp. M08DMB partial 23S ribosomal RNA
Rfam family: Bacterial large subunit ribosomal RNA
Source: RNAcentral